Molecule: ribosomal RNA, 359 nt
Filed under: Ocnophiloidea regularis (Trinidad miniature stick insect)
Lineage: Eukaryota; Metazoa; Arthropoda; Insecta; Phasmatodea; Diapheromeridae
Description: partial 16S ribosomal RNA
Source: RNAcentral
AGCAUAAUCAUUAGUCUAUUAAUUGUAGUCUUGUAUAAAUGGUUUAACGAAAUAAUAACUGUCUAUUAAUAAUUAAUUGAAUUUAAAUUUUGAGUUAAAAUGCUUAAAUUUUUUUGUAGGACGAGAAGACCCUAUAGAUCUUUAUUAAUAUUGUAUUUAUUUAGUUUAGAAUAUAUAUUUGUAAUUAUUAUAUUAAUUUUGUUGGGGUGACAAUUAGAUACAAUUAACUCUUAUUAAAUUUAUAUACAUUAAUUUAUGAAUAAAUGACCUUCUAUUAUUGUUAUAAGAUUAAGAUACCUUAGGGAUAACAGCGUAAUUUUCUUUAAGAGUUCAUAUCAACAAGGGAGAUUGCGACCUCG